UACAGAGGUCUCAAGCGUUGUUCGGAUUUAUUGGGCGUAAAGGGCGCGUAGGCGGCGGGGUAAGUCGGGUGUGAAAUCUCAGGGCUCAACCCUGAAACUGCACUUGAUACUGCUCUGCUUGAGGACUGGAGAGGAGACUGGAAUUCACGGUGUAGCAGUGAAAUGCGUAGAUAUCGUGAGGAAGACCAGUGGCGAAGGCGGAUCUCUGGACAGCUCCUGACGCUGAGGCGCGAAGGCUAGGGGAGCAAACGGG
RNAcentral lists this ribosomal RNA (253 nucleotides) under uncultured bacterium. RNAcentral's name for it is "partial 16S ribosomal RNA". It matches the Rfam family "Bacterial small subunit ribosomal RNA", at positions 524 to 776 of the family's 1533-position model. The record is from RNAcentral.